Molecule: long non-coding RNA, 1119 nt
Organism: Diabrotica virgifera virgifera (western corn rootworm)
Lineage: Eukaryota; Metazoa; Arthropoda; Insecta; Coleoptera; Chrysomelidae
Exons: 3
Source: RefSeq, a predicted model, not a curated record
CCCUAACAACACACAACAUUCCAGGAAUGUACUACCAAAGUUCUAUCAAUAUUUGAAUGUCCUGGACAUUUAGGGAACAUUCGGUGAACAUCUGUUUAAAUUAUUCCUGGAAUGUUACCAUAAGACAUUCUGUGAACAUACUACCAAUGUUCCUAUAUUUUAAGUUGCGAAAUAAUACAUACGUGUAAGAGAUACAACAUUACUUAUAACAUACCAGACAAACUAAGUGACAUUUUAGGCCUACAGUGCAAUAAUAUGUCAAAUUUAAAGAGUUUCCCAAGAUUAUAAACAUACAAAUGUAAUAAAAAUUAUUGUUCGCGAAUAUUCAAUUUGGAAUGCGAUUUUGUUAAUAAAAAAAAUACUUAUAACUUAUGCAAAACCCAAGAGAGGCAUUUAUAUUUAUUUCUUUUGCGUUCAUUUUCAAAUUCGCCGUGCAUAUAUUUUUGUGCAUGGCGCUUGAGAGGGCAUCACGUGACUAAAAACGACCAACCAACGACCUCGCUUCGGCCAUCUUGGCAUCUUCAUCUUGGCGACCUUGCCUUGCCGUGGAUUGUUUUUAGUUGUUUGUAUUAUUUGUGCUUUUUAAGAAUAUUUUUUUAAUUCGGAUACUUUUAUAAUAGCUUUAAUAGUAUUAUUAACAUAGUGCAUAAAAUGGUGUCCUGUUUUUAACGCAGUUGGAGUAGCAGAAACAAAUGUAGAUAAAAAAAUCUGCAGGAAUAACGUUUCAAUUAUGACAGAAGCUCAAAACAAAUGACUGUGAAUGAAAAGCCCGAUUAAAAGCUUUCCAGAAGAUCCUGCGAAGAAGACAUGAAGUAUAGAUCAGAUUUGUUAAUAGAGGAGUAUGUUCAAAACACUUUUUAGAAAAAGAUAUUGACAGAACUUCACUUUCAUCUGUUCGUUUGAGAGACUGUGCUGUUCCAAUAGCUUAUGUCACACAGAAUCAGCUGAGAGAAGUGGUCUACAAAAAACCAGAAAGGAAACGGAAUAUGUGGCUACGAAAAGCAAAAGAAAGGUGUACAAAGCAAAUGUGACAAAUUUUUUUAUAAUAUUUAGGAAUGUCAGCAAAUUACAUUAAAAAAUGUAUGUAAAGAUUUUUUGCAAUAAAAAUGUUUAUAUUUA